GACGAACGCUGGCGGCGUGCUUAACACAUGCAAGUCGAACGGUAAGGCCCUUCGGGGUACACGAGUGGCGAACGGGUGAGUAACACGUGGGUGAUCUGCCCUGCACUUCGGGAUAAGCCUGGGAAACUGGGUCUAAUACCGGAUAGGACCAUUGCCUGCAUGGGUGGUGGUGGAAAGCUUUUGCGGUGUGGGAUGGGCCCGCGGCCUAUCAGCUUGUUGGUGGGGUGAUGGCCUACCAAGGCGACGACGGGUAGCCGGCCUGAGAGGGGGACCGGCCACAAUGGGACUGGGAUACGGCCCAGACUCCUACGGGAGGCAGCAGUGGGGAAUAUUGCACAAUGGGCGCAAGCCUGAUGCAGCAACGCCGCGUGAGGGAUGACGGCCUUCGGGUUGUAAACCUCUUUCAGCAUCGACGAAGCGCAAGUGACGGUAGGUGCAGAAGAAGGACCGGCCAACUACGUGCCAGCCGCCGCCGUAA
Molecule: ribosomal RNA, 478 nt
Filed under: uncultured bacterium
Lineage: Bacteria
Description: partial 16S ribosomal RNA
Rfam family: Bacterial small subunit ribosomal RNA
Source: RNAcentral